AAAACCUGCUAGUCAGAGAUGAGUUCAUACAAUAAGAUAUUAUUUAGCCUUAACAGAGAAGCAAAUCCUGUCAUUGGUGACAACAUGGAUGAAGCUGGAAAACAUUAUGCUAAAUGAAAUAAGACAGACACAUGACAACACGAUUCCAUUUAUACGAGGUAUCUACAAUAGUCAAACUCAGAAGCAUCAAAUGGUGAAUGCCAAGGACAGUGGGUAGGAGGAAAUGGGGAGUUAGCCAAUAAAUAAAAGUUUCUGUUAUGCUAGAUGAGUAAGUUCUAGAGAUCUGUUGUACAACAUCGUGCCUAUGUCUAACAAUACUUUAUUGCACACUUAAUUUAUUAAGAGAGUAGAUUUCAUGUCAAGUGUUCUUGUUUUAAAAAAAGGCAAAAAGAAACAUUUGGAGGUGAUGUAUAUGUCUAUUUCCUUAAUUUUGGUGACAGUUUCACAGGUGUGUGCAUAUGUCCAAGUCAUGGAAUUGUAUACAUAAUUUAUGUGCAGUCUCUGAGAGAGAAAGAGAGAACCCAAGCCUAAACAGGAACUGUGCCUAGUUCCUCUGAAAAGAAGGGUGGCUUGGCUGUGGACCUUAUCUUUGGGAGGAGGGGUCAGAGGAGAAUUUGCAGUUAGGACAUCGUGGCAUACCUAUUUAUUCUCUAUUUUAUAUUCAGCGUUUUUUCUUAAAAUUAUAGGAGUUGUCAUGUUUAACUUUAGUGGAAUCUUCAAUUAUAACUAUAAUUUGAAUCCUAGUAUUAAUUAAAGCUGUGAAGGUUUGUGCAAAAUGCUAUUAGUGCAUUUUAGUAGAUGGUAAAGUUAAUUUGGAACCUAUGUUGUAGAGGUGCAAAAGCUAAUCAACUCCCUUUUAUAUUUUUGUUGUACAAAUUAUUUUAGUAAAGUUUGGAUUUCCAGUUGGGUCAAUGUGUGCACCUAUUUUUUCUAGUUUUUUUGUUUUCUCCUUCUUUAUCGAGGUUUCUUCCUCCUUUCCCCUCGUCUUUCAUUCCUUCCUUUCUCUUUUUGUUGUCCAUGUUUGUCACUGUAUUUACACGAGUGUGUGUGGGGUGCAGGGUUCCUUUCUACUCCACUCAUACUGAUAAAUGUAUUCCUCCAGAGAGCCUCAAAUCAGUAUCAUUGUGGUUAGAGACUUCUUUGGUGGCAGUAGUUGCUUUAUAGGGAUGAAGGACCUCGAGCUUAAGUCAAACUAAAAUGAACUCUUAUUGUGCCUCAGUGGUGUCUGGGGUGUUUUCCCUAAUACCCAGAGAAUCAGGAUGUUUGUUGCAAGAGAGACAAAGGCAGCAGAGUGGCACAGUUAGAGUGCUGGGCUCAUAAACCAGAUAUUGAUGCACUGUAACCAUCUUCUGCUAUGGCCUCGCCUUUUCUGCAGUGCAGGCUUCCUUUUCUUCCUCUCUUUUCUCUCUGUACACAUUCCUUCAGAGUAUUUUGAAUUUCUAAUCACAUAAAUCAUGACUUUUAGUUUCUAUUUCUGUCUGAUUAUUCAGGGUGCAAAGUGCAUUGUGGGUGGUUACAGGGAAAAACCCAGGAGCCCAACAGUUGCCCUCAUGAGUGCCUCCCUCCUUCUCCAGGGAGUGCCAGUCAAUCUUCCCAGGUUUCCAUGGUUGGGCACCUCAUUACCCUGGGAGGUCAGGGAACAACACAGGACAACAGCAAAAGAAGCAGAAGCACCGAAGAUGAGCAAAGCCACUACCCUUGCCUGAACAUCAAUGGCUCACAUUAGGCAAUGAAGUGCCACACUUAAUUCUCUCUGGAGUGGUGGUCACCUUCAUUCACACAAGCCUCACAAAGGUCCAUUACUGGUCCUAUCCCCACCUAUCCACCAUCCCAUUCUGUUGGGCCAUUCUGUUUGUAAUGCCAAUUGAUAUGGCUGUCCCAAACUGCCACUGACCAUCACCAGGACAGAUGCAGUGAGCAAAGAGCUCCAGUCUGUCCUCUGUUUAGUGGGACUCAAGCACAGGUUAGUCAAGGCCCUGUGUUAUCACUGCCUUUCUGACUUGCCAAACAUGUGCUCAGUCUGACAUUAGGCUAUGUUAAGGUAUAGUCAAUUAAUAACAAUUCUGGUCUUAGGGAGAAGAGUGUUUUAGGGUGGGAAUUGAUGGAAAAACUCAAAAAAGGUAACAAACUGCACAGACAAAAGCAUAAACCGACCAGUAAUUGGCGAUUCUGUCUCUAAAGGCUUCACCGUAUCACAGAACAAGUUAGUUAGCAAAGAACAGUUAAUUAAAGCUGACCAGGUGUCCUAGGUUAUGGUUGGGCCAUCCUGUUCAUUAUGCCAAUUGUUUUAAUUGCCUCAAAUUCUUCCCAUUGGUGCGGGAUGGAUUUCACCCUAGGGUUAAGCAGAUGGCCAAACACAUGCCACCUGACACUGGACAGAUGCGAUCUACAGCACUUUGUUAGUCACGUAUACUCACAGCCUGUGGGAGGAGGACCUGCUUGCCACACAGGGUUUACACUUGGGAAUGGAGUGAACAGGCAGGGUCUGUGGGAGGCAGGCUUUGUAGUAUCAAGAAGGUGAGAUGACCCCUUGUUUCCACUAAAGGAUGUGAUUGACCUGUUUGAAUAAUUCCGUGGGCUGGCAGGGAAAUGAAAUCCCCUAUUCAGAGAUAAGCAGGAAUUCUGCCUGGUCCCCUAGACUAGGAAACUUAUAGAAAGGGGAACUUGCAGUUAAGCCAUGCAAGUCUUUAUUUUACCAAAAUGUUAUGACGGCACAUAUGAAUAGUUUUUUGGGUCUUAUAUCUGGGUCCUGCACCACAUAUAUGUUCUGUCCAUUUUUGCUGAAUAUAUUUUGAAACUCUGUUCUUAGGUACAUUAACAUGCAUGUCUACUUCCUCUUCUUGAAUCAUGGAUCCAUUUAUCAUAAAUAUUUGAAAAUCAUAUAUUUGAUAGGGGAUUUGUAUCCAGAAUGAAUAAAGAAACAAGAAAAAGACAAAUAACCAAGUUUAAAAAUGAACAAAGGGUUUGAAUAGACAUUACUCCAAAAAGAGCCAAUAAGGACAUGUUCAACAUUUGAUUAAUCACACCAAUGCCAAUCAGAAUCACAAGGAGAUAUCAAUUCACACACUCUCGGGUGACUAUAAUCAAGAAGAAAAAGUACUAAGUUUUGGAGAGGAUGUGGAGAAGUCAGAACACUCAUAAAUUGCUGUGAGGAUGUCAGACAGUGCAGCCACUUUGGAAAACACUUUGACAGUUACUCAAAAGGGUAUGCUUAGUUAGCAUAAAACCAAGCAGUUUUACUCCUAGGUAUAUACCCAAAAGCAAGGGGAAAAUAUAUGCAAACAAGAACUUAUACAUGAUUGUUAAUAGCAGCAUUAUUCAUAUUAACCAAAAAAUUGAAACAAUCCAGCUAUCUACCAGCUGAUAUAUAUAUUAAUAGUUAAAUACAAUUUGGUAUAUCCAUACAAUGUGAUAUUAUUGGGUAAUAAAGAGAAAAUAAUUAGUGAUACAUGCCAUGACAUAGAUAAACCUUGAAGACAUUAAAAUGAUAAGAUUCCAGUCACAAAAGAUCAUAAUUUGUAUGAUUUAAAUUAGACGAAAUGUCUAGAAUAGGGAAGUCCACACAUUUGGAAAGUAGAUUCAUGGUUGUUUAAGUUUGGAGGAGUUGAGGAUAAAUGGGGAGUGACCGCUAAUGGAUAUGGGGUUUCUUUGUAGAAUGAUGAAUAUGUUCUGAAAUUGACUGUAGUGAUAAUUAUAUCACUCUAGAAGGAUACUGAAAACAUUGAAUUGAGUACUUUAAAUGUGUGAAUUGUAUGGUGUGUGAGUUAUGCCUCAAUAAAGUUGUUAUAUUAAACAAACAGAUGCCUGCCUCUCUACAAAGAAAACAGCAGACUAGAGGACUUCAUUGACUUACAACCUGUUGACUGAGGAG
This 3871-nucleotide long non-coding RNA is filed under the name Homo sapiens (human). RNAcentral's name for it is "HSALNT0119075". Lineage: Eukaryota; Metazoa; Chordata; Mammalia; Primates; Hominidae. The record is from RNAcentral.